This 228-nucleotide unclassified non-coding RNA is filed under the name plant metagenome. RNAcentral describes it as "partial contains small subunit ribosomal RNA and internal transcribed spacer 1". The stretch from base 1 to 46 matches the Rfam family "Eukaryotic small subunit ribosomal RNA", at positions 1786 to 1831 of the family's 1831-position model. The record is from RNAcentral.
AAGUCGUAACAAGGUCUCCGUUGGCGAACCAGCGGAGGGAUCAUUACAAGAAGCCGAAAGGCUACUUCAAACCAUCGCGAACUUAUCCAAGUUGCUUCGGCGGCGCGGGGCCCCUUCACCGGGUGCCGCAGCCCCGGACCUCCCCGGAGGUACGGGGCGCCCGCCGGAGGUACGAAACUCUCCUGUAUUAUAGUGGCGUCUCUGAUUAAACAAACAAAUAAGUUAAAA